This is a non-coding RNA of Bombyx mori (domestic silkworm), 146 nucleotides long. The record is from RefSeq and is marked provisional. Lineage: Eukaryota; Metazoa; Arthropoda; Insecta; Lepidoptera; Bombycidae.
UGAAAGACAUUGUUUUUACAUUCCCAUCGUCACAAUAUUUAGUGUAAAUGCGGUAAAGAUUUGAAAUGUUUUUAAACUCACUUGGUAAAUAAAGUCGAGUUGAAUCUUUUCUGCAAUAGUGUGACGGUACUAAAGGCAGUAACUUA